Molecule: ribosomal RNA, 253 nt
Filed under: uncultured bacterium
Lineage: Bacteria
Description: partial 16S ribosomal RNA
Rfam family: Bacterial small subunit ribosomal RNA
Source: RNAcentral
UACGAAGGUCCCAAGCGUUGUUCGGAUUUACUGGGCGUAAAGAGUCUGUAGGCGGUAGAGUAAGUCAGAUGUGAAAUCCCGGGGCUCAACCCCGGAACGGCAUCCGAUACUGCUUUACUUGAGGGUUGGAGGGGAGUCUGGAAUUCUCGGUGUAGCAGUGAAAUGCGUAGAUAUCGAGAGGAACACUAGUGGCGAAGGCGAGACUCUGGACAACACCUGACGCUGAGAGACGAAGGCCAGGGGAGCGAAAAGG